RNAcentral lists this ribosomal RNA (487 nucleotides) under uncultured bacterium. RNAcentral describes it as "bacterial SSU rRNA". It matches the Rfam family "Bacterial small subunit ribosomal RNA", at positions 28 to 514 of the family's 1533-position model. The record is from RNAcentral.
GAUGAACGCUAGCGGCAGGCCUAACACAUGCAAGUCGAGGGGUAGAGUUAGCUUGCUAACUUGAGACCGGCGCACGGGUGCGUAACGCGUAUGCAAUCUGCCUUGUACAGAGGGAUAGCCCAGAGAAAUUUGGAUUAAUACCUCAUAGUGUUAUAGAGUGGCAUCACUUUAUGACUAAAGUUCCAACGGUACAAGAUGAGCAUGCGUCCCAUUAGUUAGUUGGUGUGGUAACGGCACACCAAGACGAUGAUGGGUAGGGGUCCUGAGAGGGAGAUCCCCCACACUGGUACUGAGACACGGACCAGACUCCUACGGGAGGCAGCAGUGAGGAAUAUUGGGCAAUGGAGGCAACUCUGACCCAGCCAUGCCGCGUGCAGGAAGACGGUCCUAUGGAUUGUAAACUGCUUUUGUACGGGAAGAAACCACUCUUCGUGAAGAGUCUUGACGGUACCGUAAGAAUAAGGAUCGGCUAACUCCGUGCCAGCAG